CUACGGAGGGGGCUAGCGUUGUUCGGAAUUACUGGGCGUAAAGCGCGCGUAGGCGGAUUGAUCAGUCAGGGGUGAAAUCCCGAGGCUUAACCUCGGAACUGCCUUUGAUACUGUCAAUCUUGAGUGCGAGAGAGGUGAGUGGAAUUCCUAGUGUAGAGGUGAAAUUCGUAGAUAUUAGGAAGAACACCAGUGGCGAAGGCGGCUCACUGGCUCGAUACUGACGCUGAGGUGCGAAAGCGUGGGGAGCAAACAGGAUUAGAUACCCCAGUAGUCC
This 274-nucleotide ribosomal RNA is filed under the name uncultured bacterium. Its description in RNAcentral is "partial 16S ribosomal RNA". It matches the Rfam family "Bacterial small subunit ribosomal RNA", at positions 523 to 796 of the family's 1533-position model. The record is from RNAcentral.